This 372-nucleotide ribosomal RNA is filed under the name uncultured Glomeromycotina. RNAcentral's name for it is "eukaryotic LSU rRNA". The record is from RNAcentral. Lineage: Eukaryota; Fungi; Glomeromycota.
UUGAAAGGGAAACGAUUGAAGUCAGUCGUACCUGCGGGUAAUCAGCCUUUUGGGCAUGAUUCUGUGGAGCGUGAGGAGUUAAACGCCUUCAUGCCUGCAUAUUCGUGUACAUUGGGUGUACUUGCCCGUGUGGUUAGUUAACAUCAAUUUUGGUUAUCAUAAAAUGGUUGGAGGAAUGUAGCUUCGAUUUCGAUUGAAGUGUUAUAGCCUUCGGCAGAUGUGAUGAUCGGGAUUGAGGAUUGCAACGGAUACCCUUCGGGGCUACCUGUCUGGUCUCUGAUCGUUGCUUUGGUGCCGAAAGCGUGCUUACGGUUAUCAAAGUCGAUGGUCAAUAGGUUAGAACGGGUUAAAUUCGUUAAGGAUGUUGACGUA